UUUUAUUUACGGUAUAAAUGUAAAUAUAGAGUAACAUAUUAAAAUUUUUACAUUUUUUGGAGGUUUUUUUACAUGGCUACUACAGGUACAGUAAAAUGGUUUAACAGUGAAAAGGGCUUCGGUUUUAUCGAAGUACCAGGCGAAAAUGACGUAUUCGUUCAUUUUUCAGCUAUCCAAUCUGAAGGCUUCAAAACAUUAGAAGAAGGCCAAAAAGUUGAAUUUGAAAUCGUUGAAGGUCAACGUGGACCUCAAGCGGAGAAUGUUGUAAAAUUAUAAUUCAACGCUACAUAUGAAAGCUGCCGAUAGGCAGCUUUUUUUUA
This 320-nucleotide small RNA is filed under the name Priestia megaterium. Its description in RNAcentral is "cspA". Lineage: Bacteria; Bacillati; Bacillota; Bacilli; Caryophanales; Bacillaceae. The record is from RNAcentral.